RNAcentral lists this ribosomal RNA (512 nucleotides) under uncultured soil bacterium. RNAcentral's name for it is "bacterial SSU rRNA". It matches the Rfam family "Bacterial small subunit ribosomal RNA", at positions 26 to 527 of the family's 1533-position model. The record is from RNAcentral.
AGAUUGAACGCUGGCGGAAUGCUUUACACACGCAAGUCGAACGGCAGCACGGGGGCAACCCUGGUGGCGAGUGGCGAACGGGUGAGUAAUACAUCGGAACGUGCCCAGUCGUGGGGGAUAACUACGCGAAAGCGUAGCUAAUACCGCAUACGAACUCUGGUUGAAAGCGGGGGACUCGCAAGAGCCUCGCGCGACUGGAGCGGCCGAUGGCAGAUUAGGUAGUUGGUGGGGUAAAGCUCACCAAGCCGACGAUCUGUAGCUGGUCUGAGAGGACGACCAGCCACACUGGGACUGAGACACGGCCCAGACUCCUACGGGAGGCAGCAGUGGGAAUUUUGGACAAUGGGCGCAAGCCUGAUCCAGCCAUUCCGCGUGCAGGAUGAACGGCCCUCGGUUGUAAACUGCUUUUGUAACGGUAACGAAAAGCGACUGAGUUAAUACCUCGGCGUUCAUGAACGGUACCGUAAGAAUAAGCAACCGGCUAAACUACGUGCCAGCAGCCGACGUUAACG